UUCUUUAAGAUCGGUAUUGUCUUCAUUGAUAAAAAUGUAUUUAUAUUGAUAUAUGUUGUUGUAUGUUGUAAAUACUUAUUAUUUCUUCAAUCUCUUUCAUUUAUUACUUUUUUUUUUAAAUUUCAUUGACUAAGGUCAUUUAUCUGUCAUUAUUAAUAGCGUAACAAAUUUUAACAAAAAAAUUUAAUAAGCAAGUAAGUAACCUUUAUUACGAAUGAAAUUGCUAUUAAUGAAAUUAUUAGACCGAUCUAGAGGUACGUAAUUGUAACCCAAAUUUAAAUGUGGCAUUAUUCUAAAACAUAUAUUACUUUGUCCUCUCAGUAUCAAAAUUUAUUCAUGUGGUUUUAUAUUUAACUGAGAGAACUCACUUAUAUUGCUGUUUAUGAUUAUGUUUCAUAAAAUCGAUUUAUUUCACCAAAUCUCGCUGUUCGAAAAAAUUGAUUUUGUUUUAUCUACUUUAAAAAUUGAACUUUUGUUUUUAAGCCAAGAAACACGUAAAGAAAUGAAAAUAAAAAAAACAAACUCUUAGAGUACAUCAAUAAAUCUAUUAUUGUUCAUUAUUAUACAUUUCAUCUGAGUGUGAUGCAGCGCCGUGAAUACCAGAUUGACGUCAGUGUUAGAUUAAAAAACUUAGAAACAGCAACAUAACACGGGUAUAUAUCAUGGAAGUAAACUCAACACAGAUUGAAAUGGAGUGGUGGAAUACAGUUCAAAUGUCAUACAAAAAACUGAAAUAUCAAUUCAGAUCGAAAGGUUCACCUGAGUCGUAACAAAACUGCAAAAAGAAGUGUAAAAUCCAACACGUUAUAUUAUGUCAACUAGAGAUGACAGUUAAAUAAGUUGCGAUUAACUGAACUAAUAUGCAAAAUAAAAAAAGGGAAAAAAAAGUUACCGAAAGUACUAUUGUAUAUCAGUAGUGAACUCAGAAUUUUGAAAUCAAUAACGUAUUGAUAUAAUGAAUAUUUCAUCAACCAUGACAUUUCCAGACUUAUUUGUGAGGUUGCAACAUUGGUAAACUACUACUGUAACCUUAACCCAUUAUCAAAUGGUUAGAAUAUUUACAGAUGAACAGUUAUUUCCCUUGGAAUUAAUUUAAGAACAGUUCUUUCUCUGAGGAUUUGCAUUUCAAAGUUAAGAAGAAGAACCAAGAAGCGUCAUGAAUAAAAUGGAAGAAAUGAGGUGUAGUCAAGGUCACAACAAUUCCUAAAGAGAAAGAAAGAAGGUUCUAGGAUUAUUUAAAAAAGAAGUAAUUAAACCAAAUGAUUUGGUUUUAGAAUUUCUCUUUAUACUGCAAAAAUAAGACAAUGUUAUGUAUAGUCGUCCAAGUGCCUUACAGCCUUUUUAAAUAAAUUAAAUCCAGACAUGUGUUAGUCAUUUAAUCUGAACAGACUGUGUAAUCAAUAUUUCAAGAAUGCUUAUGUUUGAUAUAACGAAUGAAACUGCUGUCCUUUCACUUAAAAUAGUAAGUGAAGUUAUUUGUAAAACGUGUAGAUGGAAUACACAAAGUUCUACAAUUGUUUAAAGAUUACCUUGGUCUAAUUUUGUUCUCUUGAACAAACGGUAGUGUUGAAAACAUUGAAAUUCAUUUAUACACUAACAUACAUUUUUUUCUCACUGGUACAAACAAGUUUGAGUUAUGUAAGAAGGUAUUUUAAGAUGAACUUCGUUUCCUUUUUAAAAAGUCCUGUUCUGAUAAGAUCACAACAUCAGUCUACUUUAAAUUCUCAGUUAAAAACAAAUGAAAACUACUUGAUGAGGUCGCAGUGGCUUCCAAAUUACUUAUGUUUUAACAAUGACCUCUUUUUUUAUAAUUGAAUUACUUGGUUUUAUAGUGUGUACAUGUUUCUUUAAAAUAUACUAUAAUCCCCCUGAGCAUUUAAAUCAAUUACUUUGCUUUUUUUGUAAUUCAUUUUAUUGUAUAGCUCAAAUUUUGGGCACCAUGAUUGGUUAAUAAAAUAUCUUAUAAUUAUAAUAUUUA
Mytilus californianus (California mussel) is the source of this 1978-nucleotide long non-coding RNA. RefSeq lists it as uncharacterized. The record is from RefSeq and is a predicted model, not a curated record. NCBI's taxonomy places the organism in Eukaryota, Metazoa, Mollusca, Bivalvia, Mytilida, Mytilidae. The transcript has 3 exons.